AUUGAACGCUGGCGGCAGGCCUAACACAUGCAAGUCGAACGAGUGGCGGACGGGUGAGUAAUGUCUGGGAAACUGCCUGAUGGAGGGGGAUAACUACUGGAAACGGUAGCUAAUACCGCAUACCAUCAGAUGUGCCCAGAUUGGCUUAGCUUGUUGGUGGGGUAACGGCUCACCAAGGCGACGAUCCCUAGCUGGUCUGGGAGGAUGACCAGCCACACUGGAGCUGAGACGCGGUCCAGGCUCCUACGAGAGGCAGCAGUGGGGAAUAUUGCGCAGUGGGCGCAAGCCGGAUGCAACCGUGCCGCGUGUGUGGAGGGGGCCUUCGGGUUGUAAAGUACUUUCAGCGGGGGGGCGUUACCCGCAGAAGAAGCACCGGCUAACUCCGUGCCAGCAGCCGCGGUAAUUC
RNAcentral lists this ribosomal RNA (406 nucleotides) under uncultured bacterium. Its description in RNAcentral is "partial 16S ribosomal RNA". It matches the Rfam family "Bacterial small subunit ribosomal RNA", at positions 30 to 526 of the family's 1533-position model. The record is from RNAcentral.